GCGAGCAAUUGUGUUGGUGAAGAGGUGGUUGGCCGCAGGAUAAAGGUUUUGUGGCCACUGGAUCAGAUAUUUUACGAAGGGAAAAUUACAUCUUUCGACAAUUCGAAUAAAACACACCAGGUUGACUACGAUGACGGUGACCAUGAAAAAUUAGACCUUAGUAAGGAAUGCUGGCUGCUGAUAGGUGACGACGGUUUGUCCACUCAUGUCGGAGUUGCAUUAUUAUCAAUAUUUUUAUAAUUUUUAGAAUUGGUUGAAAUAUUUAACGCGUCUAUUUGUGUUUCCGUAUUUAAUAGGAUCAGAAGAUUGAUGCAAAUCCAGGUUCCUCAGCAGAGAUAUUGACUGAUCAUGGAACAAAGUCUUCUCGUAUGUCGAAAGGGAAAGAGAAGGUGAGUUCCUAGUGUAAAUAGUUUGAUCGUAAAUUCGAUAAUUCAAAUUGUUCGCUAGAACUUUUCUGCGCAU
Erythranthe guttata (spotted monkey flower) is the source of this 462-nucleotide non-coding RNA. Lineage: Eukaryota; Viridiplantae; Streptophyta; Magnoliopsida; Lamiales; Phrymaceae. The record is from RefSeq and is a predicted model, not a curated record.